RNAcentral lists this ribosomal RNA (253 nucleotides) under uncultured bacterium. RNAcentral describes it as "partial 16S ribosomal RNA". It matches the Rfam family "Bacterial small subunit ribosomal RNA", at positions 524 to 776 of the family's 1533-position model. The record is from RNAcentral.
GACGGAGGGUGCUAUCGUUGUUCGGAAUGACUGGGCGUAAAGGGCGCGUAGGCGGCUUGGUCAGUCGGGUGUGAAAGCCCGGGGCUCAACCCCGGAACGGCAUCCGAUACGGCCAGGCUGGAGACCGGGAGAGGAGGGUGGAAUACCCAGUGUAGAGGUGAAAUUCGUAGAUAUUGGGUGGAACACCGGUGGCGAAAGCGGCUCUCUGGCCCGGAUCUGACGCUGAGGCGCGAAAGCGUGGGGAGAAAACAGG